GUAAAUAUAGUUUACCCAAAACACUAGACUGUGACUCUAGAAACAGAAGACAUAUCUUCUUAUUUACC
This 68-nucleotide transfer RNA is filed under the name Darevskia parvula. Its description in RNAcentral is "tRNA-His". It matches the Rfam family "tRNA". From Rfam's summary of the family: Transfer RNA (tRNA) molecules are approximately 80 nucleotides in length. Their secondary structure includes four short double-helical elements and three loops (D, anti-codon, and T loops). Lineage: Eukaryota; Metazoa; Chordata; Lepidosauria; Squamata; Lacertidae. The record is from RNAcentral.